Molecule: ribosomal RNA, 162 nt
Filed under: Croton cajucara
Lineage: Eukaryota; Viridiplantae; Streptophyta; Magnoliopsida; Malpighiales; Euphorbiaceae
Also listed under: 4 other names
Description: 5.8S ribosomal RNA
Rfam family: 5.8S ribosomal RNA
About the family: 5.8S ribosomal RNA (5.8S rRNA) is a component of the large subunit of the eukaryotic ribosome. It is transcribed by RNA polymerase I as part of the 45S precursor that also contains 18S and 28S rRNA. Functionally, it is thought that 5.8S rRNA may be involved in ribosome translocation.
Source: RNAcentral
AACGACUCUCGGCAACGGAUAUCUCGGCUCUCGCAUCGAUGAAGAACGCAGCGAAAUGCGAUACUUGGUGUGAAUUGCAGAAUCCCGUGAACCAUCGAGUUUUUGAACGCAAGUUGCGCCCAAAGCCUUUUGGCCGAGGGCACGUCUGCCUGGGUGUCACGC